RNAcentral lists this ribosomal RNA (497 nucleotides) under uncultured bacterium. Its description in RNAcentral is "partial 16S ribosomal RNA". It matches the Rfam family "Bacterial small subunit ribosomal RNA", at positions 28 to 507 of the family's 1533-position model. The record is from RNAcentral.
GAUGAACGCUGGCGGCGUGCCUAAUACAUGCAAGUCGAGCGAACAGAUGGGGAGCUUGCUCCCCUGACGUUAGCGGCGGACGGGUGAGUAACACGUGGAUAACCUACCUAUAAGACUGGGAUAACUUCGGGAAACCGGAGCUAAUACCGGAUAAUAUAUUGAACCGCAUGGUUCAAUAGUGAAAGACGGUUUUGCUGUCACUUAUAGAUGGAUCCGCGCCGCAUUAGCUAGUUGGUAAGGUAACGGCUUACCAAGGCAACGAUGCGUAGCCGACCUGAGAGGGUGAUCGGCCACACUGGAACUGAGACACGGUCCAGACUCCUACGGGAGGCAGCAGUAGGGAAUCUUCCGCAAUGGGCGAAAGCCUGACGGAGCAACGCCGCGUGAGUGAUGAAGGUCUUCGGAUCGUAAAACUCUGUUAUUAGGGAAGAACAAAUGUGUAAGUAACUAUGCACGUCUUGACGGUACCUAAUCAGAAAGCCACGGCUAACUACGUG